Molecule: ribosomal RNA, 74 nt
Filed under: Ophidiomyces ophidiicola
Lineage: Eukaryota; Fungi; Ascomycota; Eurotiomycetes; Onygenales; Onygenaceae
Description: Ophidiomyces ophiodiicola partial 5.8S ribosomal RNA
Source: RNAcentral
GCACAUUGCGCCCCCUGGUAUUCCGGGGGGCAUGCCUGUCCGAGCGUCAUUGCAACCCCCUCAAGCCCGGCUUG